This 304-nucleotide ribosomal RNA is filed under the name Bolbonota sp. CPL-2004a. RNAcentral describes it as "partial 12S small subunit ribosomal RNA". The record is from RNAcentral. Lineage: Eukaryota; Metazoa; Arthropoda; Insecta; Hemiptera; Membracidae.
CUGGAAUAAAAGUAGUUAAGUUCUCCAUAACUCAAAGAAUUUGGCGGUUGAUGGAAUUUUUAGAGGAACCUGUAAUUUAAUUGAUAAACCACGAUAGUUUAUACCUCUUAUUUAUUUGUAUAUCUCUAUGGUUUACAGAAUGUUUUUAAAGGAGAAAUUUUCUUUAAAAUUAAUUAUGUAUUUUAGGUCAAGGUGCAGUUUUUGAAUGGUUAUUAUGGGUUACUUUAUUUUUAAUUAUUUAUUUAUAAUUUUAUAGUUGUUAGGAUUUAAAAGUAAAUUAAAUUAAUUUAUUUAUUUGAAUUUU